RNAcentral lists this ribosomal RNA (501 nucleotides) under uncultured bacterium. RNAcentral describes it as "partial 16S ribosomal RNA". It matches the Rfam family "Bacterial small subunit ribosomal RNA", at positions 30 to 523 of the family's 1533-position model. The record is from RNAcentral.
AUUGAACGCUGGCGGCAGGCUUAACACAUGCAAGUCGAGCGGAGAUGAGGUGCUUGCACCUUAUCUUAGCGGCGGACGGGUGAGUAAUGCUUAGGAAUCUGCCUAUUAGUGGGGGACAACAUUCCGAAAGGAAUGCUAAUACCGCAUACGUCCUACGGGAGAAAGCAGGGGAUCUUCGGACCUUGCGCUAAUAGAUGAGCCUAAGUCGGAUUAGCUAGUUGGUGGGGUAAAGGCCUACCAAGGCGACGAUCUGUAGCGGGUCUGAGAGGAUGAUCCGCCACACUGGGACUGAGACACGGCCCAGAAUCCUACGGGAGGCAGCAGUGGGGAAUAUUGGACAAUGGGGGAAACCCUGAUCCAGCCAUGCCGCGUGUGUGAAGAAGGCCUUAUGGUUGUAAAGCACUUUAAGCGAGGAGGAGGCUACUGAGACUAAUACUCUUGAAUAGUGGACGUUACUCGCAGAAUAAGCACCGGCUAACUCUGUGCCAGCAGCCGCCGUAA